UCAUUUUAUGUUCCUUAGUCCACGUUUACCAUUCUGCUGAUUUCCUAUUUUCUUCCUUGGUUUCACAGCCUUGGCACAUUGCUCGCUCGGUCCCUCUGACCUGUCGAGGUCACCGGCCGACCGUAGCCUGGGGCAGGGCCCAGGAAUGUAGCUGCGCCGUCGCGACCGCAGGGUCAGAAAAGUAGUAACUGGAAACUGUGAUAUUUGACUCGUUAAUGUGUAUGUUAUGCCCAAUAAUGUGCUCAGGAUUGUAAAAUGUAUUGUUUGAUGCGAGUAGGGAUCUCCUGGACAUUUAAGUUGCGAAUAUGAUAGCUGACGCGGAUGAACAUUUCUGAAUAUGGGCGGUGCCCGGCGCCCCGGCGCUGGUCGGGGGCGCGGCGCGGGUCAGUUGAGCCCCGUUGAGGCUGGUGGUAUGUGGUGGUGUCUGCGCCAGAGCCGCCAUUUACCAAGACCGUGAGGCUGGUCGUCUAAUGUGCCUCUGGAGACGUGUGCCUCUGGUUUCGUUAGCCGAUAAGCGACUCAGGGAGCACAUUUGUCGCAACGAUUGCGUGCGGAGGGCCACACGGUCCAAUACACCGAUCCGUGACG
Molecule: long non-coding RNA, 588 nt
Filed under: Amphibalanus amphitrite
Lineage: Eukaryota; Metazoa; Arthropoda; Thecostraca; Balanomorpha; Balanidae
Description: uncharacterized LOC122372906, transcript variant X2
Source: RNAcentral